CAGCAGCCGCGGUAAUACGGAGGAUCCAAGCGUUAUCCGGAAUCAUUGGGUUUAAAGGGUCCGUAGGCGGUCUUGUAAGUCAGUGGUGAAAGCCCAUCGCUCAACGGUGGAACGGCCAUUGAUACUGCAGGACUUGAAUUAUUGGGAAGUAACUAGAAUAUGUAGUGUAGCGGUGAAAUGCUUAGAGAUUACAUGGAAUACCAAUUGCGAAGGCAGGUUACUACCAAUUGAUUGACGCUGAUGGACGAAAGCGUGGGUAGCGAACAGGAUUAGAUACCCGUGUAGUCCCUGUCUCUUAUAA
Molecule: ribosomal RNA, 301 nt
Filed under: uncultured bacterium
Lineage: Bacteria
Description: partial 16S ribosomal RNA
Rfam family: Bacterial small subunit ribosomal RNA
Source: RNAcentral